This 2462-nucleotide unclassified non-coding RNA is filed under the name Leishmania donovani. RNAcentral describes it as "gene:LdHU3.34.1790(CDS-product:EF-hand_domain_pai r_putative)". Lineage: Eukaryota; Euglenozoa; Kinetoplastea; Trypanosomatida; Trypanosomatidae. The record is from RNAcentral.
CCGCACGCGCCAUCACCAACUGCGUGCGUGUACACAAACCAAGCCCCGCACCAAAGACAAGCACGCAGGCAAGCAUCAGAAGAAAACGAAAAAGAAAACGCUCAGCAGCGUUCGACACGAACCCUGGCGUGAGGCGAGGCGUGCUGCAGGAUCUUUUUGGCGUGACUGUGCGUGUGCGUGUGUGUGUGUGUGUGAUUGCCACAAAGCAUUUCGCCUCCUUCCAUUUUUGUGUGGCCUCAAAAAGAGAGUAGAGCACAUCGGACUUCUUUUUUUAGUCUGUUGUUCUUGUGUGAUCUGGAGGACGUUCGAGCACAGCCACACACGCGUCUGCCCGAUCUCUCGUCCUACCUGCUGAGUGCGAGUGAGGCUCCAUUUCUCUUCCUCUUCUUCCCCUCUUUUUGUGUUUGUAGUCUUCUCUCAUUCUCUUUCCCACCUUCUUCAGGAGUGAUGGACCCGUUAUGCUCACCAUCCGCCGUUAGCACUAACGGAACGCCUCGGACCUCGGUGGUGAACACCUCCUCAACGACGUCCGUCGUCGCUUCACCAGCACGCCCGAAGUUAAGCCGCAGCGUGAAGUUUGAUCCCACUAUCGGCGGCGAUGUCGGCGGUCUGCUGCACAGCAGUGAUCUGAGCCUUGACACGUCGUUUGUUCGCGGCGCAGGUGAUGAUGCUGAUGCUCGCGAGCACUAUGGCGGGCGCGGUAGAGGUGAUGAGGCAGUGAAUGGCUCUCCGUUGUAUUCGUGCGAUGUUUUGCACGAUCACGAGGAGCUGCUACCCUUUCAACUCACCCGCGAAGACGUGGCUGCCGCCUUCGAGUUUCUCGACGUGAACGGCAGCGGCCUGCUCACCAUGGGAAACCUCAAGCACCGUCUCUCCGCCUUCUACCCACACCUGACAAGCAAAGAGUACAAAUUUCUCGUUGAAGACCCCAGCGGCUCCACAGGCGGCGGCGGUGCUGCAUCCAGUGCGGCGAGGUCCGGCGCAGCAGCGCGGCACGGUGGUGCUGCUGACGGUUGCGGUAGCAGCACCCGCGGGCCCACAACCUCGUCACUUGCCCUGGCCGCCUCAUCGGCGCGUCCCUCGAACUUAUCCGUCGACGAAGGCGGCGAUACGGCUCAUAUCGAUGGCGCUUUGCCAGGCGAAGGGGUUGCCAGCGGUGCGGGAGGGUCGCACACAGCCGGCGCGCGCGCCGGCCUCGACGUCGAUCAGCUGUGGGACCUCAUCAACUCAUUUCAGCAGCUCCAGCGGACCUUUGGCGCCGCUCAAGCCGGCCAGGCAGAAGGGCAAAAUGCACAAAACACGCGCUCAGCAUUCAACGCUAGCUUCGACGCGUACCUCGUCAGCGCGCACGGAAACCAAGGCAUCCGGAGCGCAGACAUCGGCUUCGACGCCGUCGGCGAAGCCUUCCGCAUCUACGACCCUCACAACACGCACUACGUGGAGGAGGAAGUCCUCUCCUGCAUCAUGGCGCGCGUCGGGUUCGGCGAGCUGACCGAAGAGGAGCUUGCAGUUCUGGUGAGCACGGCCGACUUCGACGGCGACGGCCGCAUCAGCCUCGAGGACUUCCGCCGCUUGGUCAGCAUGAAAGGUCGCUUCAAAAAGUGAAGGUAUGGCUCUACGGGGUAGUGUUGGUGGUGGUGCAGAACACAGGCGAUGCACAGGUGCCAAGCAGUGAGGGGGGGGGAGGUUGGAAGUCAUUCGCCCGCGCAACGUAACGCCUGAGCCCCUCAAUAGGCACUUCCCCUCCCUCGGCCCUGCUCUAUUCUCUGCUCUCUUCUGCAGCCUCCGGGGCGGAUAUCGAUGUUCUUUUUUUUUCGCAGGCGAAGGUGCAUGUUGUGUGGAUGUGUUUGCCUCUCUCCUCACUGUCGCCAUCUCCCCUUCCUUUCCCAUUUCUCGUCCGGCACGUCUUUGGCGGAGCUCUGAGAGCUAGGGGGAGUGAAAGAGGCUCGAGGAGGGCAUCGAUAAGCGCCUCCUUUUUCUCUUUUCUUUCGUUUUUCGAUGUACAGGGAGCGUCUAGCCUAUUGGAGCUUUCAUUGUCGUGCCAGCCUCGGCUUGCUGUCUUUCGUCCGGUGCCCCCACCUGUCUUGCUCUUAUACCGUCGCCAUUCUUUCCACUUGUAUCAAGAAGCAAAAAUGCAUAAAAAAGCCGAAAGUGAGCUCGAGACGAGGACCUUUGAUGAGGGCCGUGAGGGAUGCACAAGUGUGUGCGCUUGUGCGAGGCCGAUGUAUUCGAGCAUCGACAGCUGCCCUCCUGCUUCCUCUAUUUUGAAAGGCGAACUCGAGCUAUAAUGGACGUACUAGCCCUCCCGCACGUGUGCGUGCAACGGCAGACACCAUCCUCGCUCCAUUCACGCACCCUGGCUCUCCGCGCCUUUGUGUGCCCUUUCCUUUCUGCCCCUCUUUCCUCAUGUGUCCCGCGUGGCCGCCUCCCUUUCCGUUUCCGUUUGCUACGCGCCAGGUCUC